GGACAGGUGGCGGAGCGGCUGAACGCGCUAGUCUCGAAAACUAGUUAACCCUUCGGGGUUACGUGGGUUCGAAUCCCACCCUGUCCG
This 87-nucleotide transfer RNA is filed under the name Planctomycetota bacterium. Its description in RNAcentral is "tRNA-Ser". It matches the Rfam family "tRNA". From Rfam's summary of the family: Transfer RNA (tRNA) molecules are approximately 80 nucleotides in length. Their secondary structure includes four short double-helical elements and three loops (D, anti-codon, and T loops). Further hydrogen bonds mediate the characteristic L-shaped molecular structure. tRNAs have two regions of fundamental functional importance: the anti-codon, which is responsible for specific mRNA codon recognition, and the 3' end, to which the tRNAs corresponding amino acid is attached (by aminoacyl-tRNA synthetases). tRNAs cope with the degeneracy of the genetic code in two manners: having more than one tRNA (with a specific anti-codon) for a particular amino acid; and 'wobble' base-pairing, i.e. permitting non-standard base-pairing at the 3rd anti-codon position. Lineage: Bacteria; Pseudomonadati; Planctomycetota. RNAcentral also lists the same sequence under 1 other name. The record is from RNAcentral.